UAUUGCUGGUGCUCUUGCUCCACCAUUUCUCAGCACCUGACCAUUGAUGGUUCCUCUCCCCCUUGUGGUCAGAUCUGACUCUGCCCUCAGGUCCCUCCCACUUUCCCACCUCUCUCUCCCCAGUACCUGCAGGCACCUAAGGGACACAGAGCUCAGACCCUAACCUGCCCUCUGCCACCCACCCAGUCUCCUUCCAGCAGGUGCAGCCGGGAAGUCACCCUGGGCUUCUCUCCACAGGUGGGAAGCAGAACCAUGCUGGGUCCCCUCGCCUUCCUGUGCGCCCUCCUGUUUCCCGGCAGCUGGGCAGCGAUCAGCCUGGGGCAGCCCUCUAUGGUCGUGGCGCAGGCAGGCCGCUCAGCCACUCUGUGGUGCAAAGCCAGCACCAAGGUCAGCUACAUCCACUGGUACCACCACCAGGAAGGUGCGGCCCCCAAGAGGCUCCUCAGACUGGACAUGUCUGGAACGUUUGUGCAGAGAGAUGGGGGCCUGAAAGCGGACAAAGUCAAUGCCAAGAGGGGCAAGGGUAGCAACAGCUGUGACCUGUCCGUGCUGAAGCUGGAGAAGAGCGACGAGGGCGUGUACUACUGUGCUGCCUGGGAAGCUCACAGCUGCAUGUGCUGCUCCGCUCCCUGAGCAAAAAGGUUUCUGAUUCCUCGGUCCCUGCCUGCCUGGCACCUUCCACUUGCUCUGGAUCCCUGGGGUUGCCCUGAGUCAGCCCUCAGCACCCCUGGCUGUUAUGGACAGGCCAUUUAAGAUUCUGACCACACCCCCUGAAGAAUGUGGGAAUAAAAUAUCGUGCAAAUAAUUUCAAGGCCGAGAGACUCUCUGGGGAUUCCGCACAAAAUGGGUGCAAGCCGAGACUGGAAGGCAGCUCCUGACUCCAGUUUCUAAGUUGCCGCCCCGCCCACCGCUGGUUCCUGUGCAGAGAGAGAGACUCCUUGAUCAGAAGCCCAAGAAACAGUGUGGCUAACUUCGCAGCACCCUCGCCCAAGCCUGGCGCUCACUCUCCUGCGGGGGAAAUGAUCCUCAGGGCAGGUGCACGCAUCGGCCCUGGACGAGACCCCGGGCCCUCCGCCUUCCCCGUCUCCUUGAAAGUGACUCCAUAUGGGAUUUGGGGACCAGCUUCCCUGGACCUCUGUUCUCUCCUCUGUAAAGUGAGGAGGUUUAACUGCUACAAUGUGUGACUGAUUUUUGUAUUAAAGAAAAAUUAUACCAAAAAUAUAUCACUAUGUUCACUAACUUCUUAUAAAAUUAGUCAACUUCUUGAC
Molecule: non-coding RNA, 1268 nt
Organism: Herpailurus yagouaroundi (jaguarundi)
Lineage: Eukaryota; Metazoa; Chordata; Mammalia; Carnivora; Felidae
Source: the annotation of a RefSeq genome assembly